Molecule: non-coding RNA, 30 nt
Filed under: Rattus norvegicus (Norway rat)
Lineage: Eukaryota; Metazoa; Chordata; Mammalia; Rodentia; Muridae
Source: RNAcentral
UGGGCUAUGCUAGGGCUCCAGUUGCCUGGG